This 1448-nucleotide unclassified non-coding RNA is filed under the name Hevea brasiliensis (rubber tree). Lineage: Eukaryota; Viridiplantae; Streptophyta; Magnoliopsida; Malpighiales; Euphorbiaceae. The record is from RNAcentral.
AUCAAUAAUGUCAUAUAUCAGACUCGCAUAUAACAAUAGGAAGAAAAUAUAAGAAGACCAGUUAGCUGAAAAAGUAUGGAAAUUAAAAUAAUAAUGGACAUUCAUUUCCAAAAUAUUUAAGAACGUAGUAGUAUUAUUAUAUAACAGGGAACCCAGCACACAACAACAAUGAACAUAAUAGACAUUGGUCGCUAAGUUUGCCUCCUAAUUUGAAGAAUCUGGUCAGUGGACCUACCACAGCAACAAUUCUCUUACCCAUAGGAGAGAAGACCAUAGAAGGGAUUUGUUAUCGCAGACCUUAUUUCAGACCCCGCUGAGUUUAAUAGUGCCACGUCCACUUUGUCAUGAGGAAGGAAUAAAUAUUUGCCCCCUUCAAUUCUCUCAAAUCCACAAAGUUCAAGAAACUCAAUACCUCCUUUCAAUCUUCCAACUCUAUCCUGGAAUAAUGGAUUACUGAUUCGGAUCUUCCUGAAUUUUUCCACAUCAGGAUUCUUUGCAACAUUCCCCACAUAAAUCAAAAGGGUUUGAAAGGCCCUUUUGACUGCAGCAUCAUCAUCCUUGUGAUUGCGCCUGAGAGACCUUAAACAUUCUCUUAAUUGCUCAGCCCUUGUAGCAGAAAGAGAAAAGUUCUUUUUUUCCUGCACAACAUCUCUGGAAGGAUUUAUAGCCUCAUGUCUAACAGAUGGUGGCAAUCCAAGCAUUCUUCUUCUUUCCGCCUUGUCAGCUUCUAGUUUCUGACGAACUUUCUCCCUUGCCCUUUUCUCUUCCUCUUUUUCUGCUUUCCUCAAUGCUAAAUAACGUUUUCUUUCAUUCUCUUCAGCAGUUCUCUUUGCCUCAAGGAUUUCCUUACCAGCUCGAAUCCUUUCCUUCUCCUUUUCCCUUUCUAGUUUCUUUUCUUCUUCUUCAUUCCUCUUGCGAGCUUGAUCCCUUAACUCUUGCACCUUAUUCUGUAUUUCCUCUGUAGUUUGACAUGGUUGAGGAGACUCAAUAUCUAUGUUCACUGCUAUCAAGGGCACUUGAUCAAUAUCUGGGUCAUCCUCAUGAUCAACAAUCCAAUUUAUGGCAUCCUCAAGGCUAGCAUUGCCUGAAUAAUGAAGUGCGCGUGCUGCUCGACCAAUUGUGAAUCCCAUGUCUUCAAGUUCCCGAAGCAGUCGUUUGUUUACUUCCAAUACAUCAGUUUCCUGUUGUUGGGGCUGCAUUGCCAUUGCAAGCAGAUUGAGAGGGUUGGAAUGGAUUGGAUUGACAAGACGAAACCGAAAAGAGAAGAGAGGUAUAAAUGGUGCAGCGGGAUAAUGCAGGAACAUGAAAGAAGCCCUGAAAUGUACGCCACUUCAGAUUCAGAGACCGCACUUGCCAUUUUCUUAUUCUUUGCGGAUCUCUCUUUCCCUGUUUCUUUUUGUACCUUUUGGCUUUCGUUUGGUUACUUCCCUCCCACGAAUAGAACUCGG